CGGACGGGUGAGUAAUGUCUGGGGAAACUGCCUGAUGGAGGGGGAUAACUACUGGAAACGGUAGCUAAUACCGCAUAACGUCGCAAGACCAAAGAGGGGGACCUUAGGGCCUCUUGCCAUCGGAUGUGCCCAGAUGGGAUUAGCUAGUAGGUGGGGUAACGGCUCACCUAGGCGACGACCCCUAGCUGGUCUGAGAGGAUGACCAGCCACACUGGAACUGAGACACGGUCCAG
This 233-nucleotide ribosomal RNA is filed under the name uncultured bacterium. Its description in RNAcentral is "partial 16S ribosomal RNA". It matches the Rfam family "Bacterial small subunit ribosomal RNA", at positions 99 to 334 of the family's 1533-position model. The record is from RNAcentral.